ACGGGAGGCAGCAGUGGGGAAUAUUGGGCAAUGGAGGCAACCCUGACCCAGCAACGCCGCGUGAAGGAAGAAGGCUUUCGGGUUGUAAACUUCUUUGACGAGGGACGAUAAUGACGGUACCUCGAAAACAAGCCACGGCUAACUACGUGCCAGCAGCCGCGGUAAUACGUAGGGAGCAAGCGUUAUCCGGAAUUACUGGGUGUAAAGGGAGUGUAGGCGGGACUGUAAGUCAGAUGUGAAAUAUACCGGCUCAACUGGUAGACUGCAUUUGAAACUGCGGUUCUUGAGUGAAGUAGAGGUAAGCGGAAUUCCUAGUGUAGCGGUGAAAUGCGUAGAUAUUAGGAGGAACAUCAGUGGCGAAGGCGGCUUACUGGGCUUUAACUGACGCUGAGGCACGAAAGCGUGGGGAGCAAACAGGAUUAGAUACCCUGGUA
Molecule: ribosomal RNA, 434 nt
Filed under: uncultured Clostridium sp.
Lineage: Bacteria; Bacillati; Bacillota; Clostridia; Eubacteriales; Clostridiaceae
Description: partial 16S ribosomal RNA
Rfam family: Bacterial small subunit ribosomal RNA
Source: RNAcentral